UCCUACGGGAGGCAGCAGUGGGGAAUAUUGCACAAUGGGGGAAACCCUGAUGCAGCGACGCCGCGUGAGUGAAGAAGUAUUUCGGUAUGUAAAGCUCUAUCAGCAAGGAAGAAAAUGACGGUACUUGACUAAGAAGCCCCGGCUAACUACGUGCCAGCAGCCGCGGUAAUACGUAGGGGGCAAGCGUUAUCCGGAUUUACUGGGUGUAAAGGGAGCGUAGACGGCAUAGUAAGUCUGAUGUGAAAGCCCGGGGCUCAACCCCGGGACUGCAUUGGAAACUACUAAGCUAGAGUGCAGGAGAGGUAAGUGGAAUUCCUAGUGUAGCGGUGAAAUGCGUAAAUAUUAGGAGGAACACCAGUGGCGAAGGCGACUUACUGGACUGUAACUGACCUUGAGGCUCGAAAGCGUGGGGAGCAAACAAGAUUACAUACCCUGGGCUCCACGCCCUAAACGAUGAAUACUACCUGUCGGGGAGUACUGCUCUUCCCAGCCGCCCCUCACCCCGUAAGUAUUCCACCAUGGUCAGGUUUUCCCCCAAAAAAAAUCACUCAUGAAUGCAGUCGCACGAACGAAUGGGUAAAUCCUGUAACCUGCAGUACUAUUCCCCUCUAGUUAGGGUCAAGGCUCGAACCUGGUUUACUGUG
This 644-nucleotide ribosomal RNA is filed under the name uncultured bacterium. RNAcentral describes it as "bacterial SSU rRNA". The stretch from base 1 to 518 matches the Rfam family "Bacterial small subunit ribosomal RNA", at positions 337 to 873 of the family's 1533-position model. The record is from RNAcentral.